Long non-coding RNA from Mus musculus (house mouse), 219 nucleotides. RefSeq lists it as uncharacterized. NCBI's taxonomy places the organism in Eukaryota, Metazoa, Chordata, Mammalia, Rodentia, Muridae. The transcript is spliced from 3 exons. The record is from RefSeq and is a predicted model, not a curated record.
GUUUCUGACAGUCACAGGACUCAUCAGAGGAUAAAUGGAAGAAAUGUUGAAGAGAGGCCCAGACUGCCAUCAGUUGUUAGGGAAGCAUCCAAAACGAAUGAUGAACAAGCAGAGGAGAUGCUUAGCCUCCCACAAUGCAAUGGAGGAGAGGGAAGUAGUUCUUGUGAACAAACGUGUGAUGAACAAGAGCCCCAGGAUGCCCUGCCCUCAUCCCUGAGA